This 113-nucleotide small nucleolar RNA is filed under the name Castor canadensis (American beaver). RNAcentral's name for it is "Small nucleolar RNA SNORA51 (ENSCCNG00000013477.1)". It matches the Rfam family "Small nucleolar RNA SNORA51". Rfam says of the family: ACA51 is a member of the H/ACA class of snoRNA that guide the sites of modification of uridines to pseudouridines. Lineage: Eukaryota; Metazoa; Chordata; Mammalia; Rodentia; Castoridae. The record is from Rfam by way of RNAcentral.
GGCCUCCUGUUGCGUUCUUACUCUGGCUGUAUGGGAAGAGGAGGGAGAGAUGCCCCAGAUACACCUCAGCCCAGUCCCCGGGCCUGGUCUGUACUGUGAAUGGGAAGGCAUGG